Cyprinus carpio carpio is the source of this 2722-nucleotide long non-coding RNA. NCBI's taxonomy places the organism in Eukaryota, Metazoa, Chordata, Actinopteri, Cypriniformes, Cyprinidae. The record is from Ensembl.
CUCAUGUUUGAUUAUGUUAUUUGGUUCAGGUGUGUCUUGUGUAGUGAGCCACCCAAUGCCAGAUCAGCGUCACCAUGGAAACAGCCCUCACACCUGAGAGCAAAUGCUGAUCGUCAGCACCUGAACCUAAUCAAGAGGAGCAUAUAUAAAUGGAAGAGAAGCGAAGGAGGAUGAGCUUUGUCUCUGAAUAUGCAAGACACUAAUGUUGUGCUCUUUACUUAUUGCAGAGACCAGCGGCUGACAAUAGGCACUCCCUAGACGUUCACCGUGAUUCACCCUUCCCUCUCAAAGACUGCACAGAGCAUGCCCUCAAACUAAAGCAACUGCUCUCUCGCUGAAGAAGCCCGGAAUGGAGGAAAUCAUCCAACGUCUGACUGAAAUCACCACCCACCAGCACCAGUUUGUGGAACAGCUGGCUUCUCGCCAGGAAUGGAUGGAGCAGACAGUGGAGAUGUUGCUGGCAGCUGCACGAGUACCAUUGCCUGAUCCCAGCGCAUCGGCACACCAUCUCACAAUACUCAGUGACCAGGAUGAUAUUGAAGUUUACCUGCACACGUUUGAAGUGGUUGCCACCGGAGAGAAUUGGGACAGAUGAGAAGGGGCUAUGUCUUAGCUGCCUUUCUGACCUGGGAAGCAUAAUGGGCCUAUUUCGCAUUAACCCUUCCCGAGAAUGAAGACUACAGUGGGGUCAAGCGUGAAAUCCUUGCCUGGCUUGGACUGUCUCCCAUCUGUGCCACCCAACAGUUUUGGAUAUGAAGAAAACGUGCCAGUUAGGGUACAGGCCACCCGAUUGUCCCGCAUUGCUCAUUUAUGGUUGCUGGUAGAUGAACCCUCUGCCUCCCAGGUUGCUGAGAGUUGUGGUUGACCGCCUGCUCUGUGCGCUUCCCCCGCAGGUAUAGGAACCCAUUUGGAAUAAGGAACCCGAACAGCCUGGCUGAGCUCGUAGAAGCAGUCGAGCUUGCAGAAGUGGCAUUCGCUAGAGAUGCUGGAGAGAGAGCGGUAUCCAACCCCCGGAGGGCAACCCCUGUUUGGCGAUCAUCGGAGAGCACCUCAAGACCAGUAAAAAGACCUAGCGGCCCCUUCCCUGGCCGACGAGCCCAUGCCCAUGGAACCCGCCUCAGCGGCAGCACUGCUGUGAUUGGCCGGUUGAUUAGUACUCCGCUCCUUAACUCCCAGGGCUCCUGAAUGGCGAGUUUACAUCAACAGGAAACCAGUCACGGUGAAUCUUGACUCCGGCAGCGCUAUCACACUGGUACAGCCCGGGCUGGUAUGGCCCAGGACUCAUGGAAAAGCCACCAUCCCAAUUACCUGUGUGCACGAGGAUACCCAGUGGGUGCCCGUUCGUCAAGUCACCAUCUCAGGCCCUUAGAGGUGGGCAUCAUCCAGGACCUCCCCGUGCCGGCUCUGCUCAGAAGGGAUUGGCUGGGUUUUGAUAAGCUGCUUGCCUCAAAACCUCCGGCCAGUAGGGGAGUCCACUGCUGGAAACGCCAGGAACGGAGCAGCGGGGCUCAGCCAGCUCUGAUGGCCACCGAAAGUGAGCGUCAGGGUGAGUCCGAGUCCCGUUCCAAUAACCUUUUCUUGAAUCUCUAUCAACAGAUGAUUGCUGGGGGCUCAUUCAGUAAAGAACAGCGUGAGGAUGACCAACUGCGGAACUGCUGGCUCCAAGUGUGAUUAUUUGACAGGGAGGUCCAACAACCUGCGCCUUACCCCUUUCCUUACUUUGUGGUCCCAAAUGGUCUGCUUUACUUUGUCGCCCAGCAGUGGGGGGAGAAAAAAAAUUACUACUAGAUGUUCCCAAAACAAAGACAGACAUUUAUCAAGCUUGCCCACACCCAUCCGAUGGCCGGUCAUCUGGGGGCCGUCAAAUCCAUACAAAGGAUUCGUGACCACUUCCAUUGGCCAGGUUUAGAAGCUGAAGUAAAAUGCUUCUGCCAGAGCUGCCCUACCUGUCAACGCACCACUCCAAUGAGACCUCCUCUACCAUGGCUUCUCCCUCCAUUGGCUCCAUAGAGGGUUGCCUUCAUGGCUGUGGCCUGGGUCCCUCCUGUCUCCUCCCUGGCUCUUCCCUCCAUCUGGUCCAUCCUAGCUCCUCCCGUCUCAUCCCUGGGUCCUCCUGUCGUCUCCACCCUGGAAUCUGUUGGCCGUCCUCCUCCCGGGUGUCCGUCCUCCACCUCCUCCUCCUGAGUUCCCCUCCAUCCCUCCCUUUGUUCCUGCGGCACAAGGACUGUUUGUGUGUUUCUUGCCAUGUGCUCUCCAUGACCUAGUUUUCCCUCAUGUUUGAUUGUUAUUUGGUUCAGGUGUCCCUUGUUAGUUACCCUCCUUUGUGUUAGUACUUAGUCUAGUCUGUCCUGUGAUCCCCUGUCCUGUAUUGUAUGUCUGAAUGUCUCUCCGUGAGGUACUACGUGUGACUCCUGCCUUCCUGUGUUAACCACGAUCUGGAAUAUUAAAGUGUGUCCACUGAAAACUCCUUCAUGUUCGUUCUCCUUGCUCCAACACAGUAGUAUCGUGACAAUGGUCCAAAUGGACCAAAAGUCAGUUAAUGGAAAACAUAGAAAUGCAUUAAUAAAUAACAAAUUUAAUUGCGUUCAAAUAAUUUUCAAUUUACUUUUUAACCAUAAUUUACUAACUUAAAUCUAUGAAGAUUCACUAUUUUUAAAGAUAAGAAACAUUUCAAACAGCUUUUUUUUAUUUUACACAUGCAUACAAUUUAUUUAUAAAGAGU